AUGGCCGGGCUCGGAGGCCGGCGGCGGCGCACGGCGCGAAGGCCGCCCCGAAGGGCGAUAGGUCAUUUUGUCGGAGUAAUUGACCACGGAUACCCCGAAGACGGCGAGACAAUAAUUCAAGACAUCGGGGCUAGCAAAGCCCAUCAGUCCGACUGCCCGGCCGCUCCUGCCGGCUCCCCGUCCGACUGCUCUGCCUGGCCGGCUGCCGACUGCGCCAACCAGCCGGCUGCCGACUACAACCCGACUCGACACCGACAAGACAUCGACAAGACAGCCACACCGCGGCCAUGCCUGGCCACUAUUGCUGCAUAG
RNAcentral lists this ribosomal RNA (312 nucleotides) under Triticum aestivum (bread wheat). RNAcentral's name for it is "partial small subunit ribosomal RNA". The record is from RNAcentral. Lineage: Eukaryota; Viridiplantae; Streptophyta; Magnoliopsida; Poales; Poaceae.